GCGGCCUCCAUAUCACCAUCUUCCCAGGGCAAUGUUGGCAAGUGCCGAGAUGCCCUGAUCUUAAGCAUCCCUUAUCUUUGACACCAAGUGACAGCAUUUUUCCUGGAUGAUGGCUCUGUCUCCUGUGGCCUCACAUUUUAAAAGGACAAAGAUGACAGCUAGAAGGACCUCCAGAGGAGAUUCUUGUCCUGUCAUUUUAUUGACAGACGCGCUAUUACAGGCUCUUUUCCCAGAAGUUGACCGAAGAAACCCAAGCGCUGCUAUUUCUUCCCUCCCAAGUCCGGUGGCUCCCCUGCUAAUGGACUGCUUUUCUCUGAGCUUCCACCCUGGAGAGAGCCCCCAGGUCUAGUCUGUGAACCCAGCU
Molecule: long non-coding RNA, 364 nt
Filed under: Ursus maritimus (polar bear)
Lineage: Eukaryota; Metazoa; Chordata; Mammalia; Carnivora; Ursidae
Description: lncRNA (ENSUMAG00000020454.1)
Source: RNAcentral